CAUCACUCAAGUGCCUCGGCAAUUGAGUGAUGGUGUAAAACCAUCACAAUAACAGCGCAGGAUUUGCCAACAAGAUUGGCUGAUUUUUUCAAGCCGCAGCGCAGUGGACAUCGAAGUCCAUGAGCAGCGGAAGUUAAAAAAUCGGGCAAGAUUGGCCGCAAAGCCAAGCGGGACAUUUGAGGAUGGGGUGACUGCGUACCUUUUGUAUAAUGGGUCAGCGACUUAUAUUCUGUAGCAAGGUUAACCGUAUAGGGGAGCCGUAGGGAAACCGAGUCUUAACUGGGCGAAUAAGUUGCAGGGUAUAGACCCGAAACCCGGUGAUCUAGCCAUGGGCAGGUUGAAGGUUGGGUAACACUAACUGGAGGACCGAACCGACUAAUGUUGAAAAAUUAGCGGAUGACUUGUGGCUGGGGGUGAAAGGCCAAUCAAACCGGGAGAUAGCUGGUUCUCCCCGAAAGCUAUUUAGGUAGCGCCUUGUGAACUCAUCUUCGGGGGUAGAGCACUGUUUCGACUAGGGGGUCAUCCCGACUUACCAACUCGAUGCAAACUACGAAUACCGAAGAAUGUUAUCACGGGAGACACACGGCGGGUGCUAACGUUCGUCGUGAAGAGGGAAACAACCCAGACCGCCAGCUAAGGUCCCAAAGUCAUAGUUAAGUGGGAAACGAAGUGGGAAGGCUCAGACAGCCAGGAUGUUGGCUUAGAAGCAGCCAUCAUUUAAAGAAAGCGUAAUAGCUCACUGGUCGAGUCGGCCUGCGCGGAAGAUGUAACGGGGCUAAACUAUGCACCGAAGCUGCGGCAGCGAACGUAUCACUUAAACUGAUUAAGUGAUACUCAAAUGUAUCAAAACGAUUGACGGAGCGAAGCGACGUCAAUGCGUCCAACAAAGUCGAGGCGGAAACGUCAGGCAGUCAGUUUAAGGAUACGUUCGUUGGGUAGGGGAGCGUUCUGUAAGCCUGUGAAGGUGUGCUGUGAGGCAUGCUGGAGGUAUCAGAAGUGCGAAUGCUGACAUAAGUAACGAUAAUGCGGGUGAAAAACCCGCACGCCGGAAGACCAAGGGUUCCUGUCCAACGUUAAUCGGGGCAGGGUGAGUCGACCCCUAAGGCGAGGCAGAAAUGCGUAGUCGAUGGGAAACGGGUUAAUAUUCCCGUACUGGUGAUAAUUGCGAUGGGGGGACGGAGAAGGCUAGGCUAUCCGGGCGACGGUUGUCCCGGUUUAAGGAUGUAGGCAGGUGAAUUAGGCAAAUCCGGUUCACUAUAUGCUGAGGUCCGAUGACGAGUCACUACGGUGAUGAAGUAGCUCAUGCCCCGCUUCCAGGAAAAGCCUCUAAGCUCUAGAUUAUCAUUAAUCGUACCCCAAACCGACACAGGUGGUCAGGUAGAGAAUACUCAGGCGCUUGAGAGAACUCGGGUGAAGGAACUAGGCAAAAUGGUGCCGUAACUUCGGGAGAAGGC
RNAcentral lists this ribosomal RNA (1454 nucleotides) under Providencia rettgeri. RNAcentral describes it as "partial 23S ribosomal RNA". The stretch from base 167 to 1454 matches the Rfam family "Bacterial large subunit ribosomal RNA", at positions 572 to 1747 of the family's 2925-position model. The record is from RNAcentral. Lineage: Bacteria; Pseudomonadati; Pseudomonadota; Gammaproteobacteria; Enterobacterales; Morganellaceae.